UGCUCCCUUGCUUUACUCGACGCCUCGGGCCUUCCUCACGAACGUCUUUCCGCUAACAUAGUACGUCGGGGCAUUCCCCGAUGAACACACACAAAUACCUCGAGGCAUUCCCCGGCCAAAUGAAUACAUUUAAUGAAAUGUGAUGAAAAUGAAGAAAAGCACUCAACACAAAUAUUUACACAUUCGAUGAUUAAAAUCCUACGAGUUGCCUACCCCCUAAAACCUAGAACUUGCCUAUCAAUGCCCGACCUAAGACAUGAUACUAUUACACUUAACAUCAAUAUUUAUUUCAAAAUAAACCGACAACAAUAAAUCAAGACUAAUCCUUUUUUAUUUUAUCAAUUUUUCGAUCCCGACCCCAAACAACAACUUUAAUUCUCAAUCAACGAUUAACUAAUCUUUAGACUAUCAAUUUAAUCUUCAUAAUCCGAAUUCAACAUCAACCAACAUUUAUGAUUCAAACAUCACAAAAUAAAACAAAAAACAAGAUGCAGACAUUGUCAAUUCGCCACACAAAAUAUAAAAAUUUAAAAUUAUUCGAGAAAAAGGAUUAGAAAUGGACCUCAAUCGAAGCUUUUAUUGUGUCAAAUAAUGCAAUUAGAAAAUAGAAUCGGGUUCAAAAGCCUCAAGUCGAACCUCGAUCGCGAACUGACCAACUCCAAAACUCGGUAUCACCAAAAUCAAAACUCGGAACUGACCACGAUGACCCAGUCGAGACAAAUCGAACCUUUAAAGCGUGUCUUUCAAUUUUAAAAAUUCUUCAAAAUAGAGCAGCCCUUAAACCUUGUACAAAAUUCACACUUAUUAAAGAAUUGAUCUCGGCUUUUAUUUUUGCCUUAACCGAUGGUGCAGAAAACACUAAAAUUCGACCCACGAACCUAGAUUUUUACCCAAAAUCUCAAAAUUGAAGCAAUGAGGGAGAAAGAAAGUAAAUUCGACAGCUCCCUAAAGAAUUCUGUGACUGUUUUAUGGUUUAUAUUAUGAAGAUCAAUGCGAAGGGAGUCAUCUAGUCAGUAAUGAAAUGGAAUUUUAGAGAUGGAGAUGUGGGUGACGUAUGACCCAAAAUGAAAGAGGGUAUGUGUUGUUAUUCUAGGAAGAAAAAGAGAAGGGGGUGUGUGAAUGUCGAUGGUUGUGCGUGUAUGGUGUGUACAGAAAGAGUGACGAUGGAAGGAAUAGUGUUGGUGUUUGUCUAUGGUGAGAGAAUUGUAUGGGGUGACUGUGAGAGUGUGUUGGUUAGAAUAGGAUUAAAACAAGAUAAAAUUUGUUAGGGAUUUUUUUAAGGGUUGUUAUUUUUUGUACAUUUGUGGGAUAUAAUCACACGGGUGAGGGCACACAGUAAGACGAGGGUAAAAUGGUAAAAAAAAGCUUUCAGUGAGGGACAACAUUACGUGUCUACAUCAUGCCCCCUUUGAAUGUAAACACAGAGUGUUUUCAUACAAAGAAGUAGACAACGAGACAGAAUUUUGUCCCGAUCAUUAUUCAAAGGAACAAAUAGAAGGAAGAAAGUCAACCGAGUCUUCACUUAGGACACCCUACCUACCCAAGUUAUGAGGGAAUUAAGUGACAGGUAUAUCAAAGGAUUGAAAGUAGAUGAACUAUACCGAGUUGGAGAGUUGAGUGAGGUUCCAUCGAGGUUACGGUCCGCGGCUCUGUCAUUACAUCAAAAUGGAAAUUACAAAUUAACAUAUAAAUAGAAUUAUAAAAAUCCUACCUAUGCAGCUUCUUUUGGACUUUAGUUUCAUCACCCUAUUCUUCAGGCGGACUCUUGACUUGAAAUUUCUUCAACUUUUUCAUCACCCUGUUCUUUGGGCAGGCUCCUGACUUGCAAUUUCUUCAACUUGUUGCUUGGUUUUCAACUUCUUCACCUUGUUUGAAUUUCAACUUCUUGACCUUGUUGCUUGACUUUCAAUCUCUUGACCUUGUUAUUUGACUUUCAAUUCUUUCAACCUGUUCUUCAAACGGGCUCCUGACUUUCAAUUUUCAAUCAUCUUCAAAUUUCAUCACCCUGUACUUCAAGCGGGCUCCUGAAACCAGAAUCAAAACGAGAACGAAAAUUAUCCCAAACAAAGAUUAAGAUAUAGAAAUAUUUUACUUUUUGAAAGUAAAGUCCCAUUCUUUAGGAGGGUCCUGAACAGAAAGUAAAGUCCCAUUUUUCAGGAGGGUCCUGAACAGAAAGUAAAAUCCCAUUUUUUAGGAGGGUCCUGAACAGAAAGUAAAAUUCUAUUUUUCAGGAGGGUCCUGAAUAGAAAGUAAAAUCAUAUUUUUAAGGAGGGUCCUGAACAGAAAGUAAAGUCCCAUUUUUCAAGAGGGUCCAGAACAGAAAGUAAAGUCUCAUUUUUCAGGAGGGUCCUGAACAGAAGUAAAAUCGUAUUUUUCAGGAGGGUCUGAAACAGAAAGUAAAGUCCCGUUUUUUAGGAGGGUCCUGAACAAAAAGUAAAGUCCCAUUUUUCUGGAGGAUCCUGAACAGAAAGUAAAGUCUCAUUUUCCAGGAGGGUCCUAAACAGAAAGUAAAGUUCCAUUUUUCAGGAGGGUCCUGAGCAGAAAGCAAAGUCCUAUUUUUCAGGAAUGUCCUGAACAGAAAGUAAAAUCCCAUUUUUAAGGAGGGUACUGGGCAAAAAGUAAAGUCCCAUUUUUUAGGAGGGUCCUGAACAGAAAGUAAAGUCUCAUUUUUAAGAAGGGUCCUGAACAGAAAGUAAAAUCCCAUUUUCAGGAGAGUCCUGAGCAGAAAGUAAAGUCCCAUUUUUCAGGAAGGUCCUGAACAUAAAGUAAAGUCCCAUUUUUUAGAAGGGUCCUGAGCAGAAAGUAAAGUCCCAUUUUUCAGGAGGGUCCUGAGUAGAAAGUAAAGUCCCAUUUUCCAGGAGGGUCCUGAACAGGAAGUAAAAUCCCAUUUUUAGGAGGGUCCUGAACAGAAAUUAAUGUCCCAUUUUUCAGUAGGGUCCUGAACAGAAAGUAAAAUCCCAUUUUCUAAGAGGGUCCUGAACAGAAAGUAAAAUCUCAUUUUUCAGGAGGGUCCUGAACAGAAAGUAAAGUCCCAUUUUCCAGGAGGGUCCUGAACAGAAAGUAAAAUCCCAUUUUUAAGAGGGUUCUGUCUGAAAGUAAAAUCCCAUUUUUAGGAGGGUCCUAAACAGAAAGUAAAAUCUCAUUUUCCAGGAGGAACCUGAAUAGAAAGUAAAGUCCCAUUUUUCAGGAGGGUCUUGAACAGAAAGUAAAAAUUCAUUUUUCAGGAGGGUCCUGAACAAAAAGUAAAGUUCCAUUUUUCAGGAGGGUCCUGAACAGAAAGUAAAGUCCAAUUUUCCAGGAGGGUCCUGAACAGAAAUAAAAGUCCUAAACAGAAAGUAAAGUCUUAUUUUUCUGGAGGGUCCUGAACAGAAAGUAAAGUCCCAUUUUCCAGGAGGGUCCUGAACAGAAAGCAAAUUCUCAUUUUUCAGGAGAGUCCUAAACAGAAUGUAAAGUCCCAUUUUCCAGGAGGGUCCUGAGCAGAAAGUAAAAUCCCCUUUUCCAGGAGGGUCCUGAGCAGAAAGUAAAGUCUCAUUUUUCAGUAGGGUCCUGAACAGAAAGUAUAGUCCCAUUUUUCAGGAGGGUCCUGAGCAGAAAGUAAAGUCCCAUUUUUUAGGAGGGUUCUAAACAGAAAGUAAAAUCCCAUUUUUUAGAAAGUUCCUGAGCAGAAAGUAAAUUUCCACUUUUCAGGAGGGUCCUGAACAGAAAAUAAAGUCUAAUUUUUCAGUAGAGUCCUGGACAGAAAGUUAGGUCUCAUUUUUCAGGAGGGUCUUGAACAUGAAGUAAAGUCCUAUUUUUUAGGAGGGUACUGAACAGAAUGUAAAGUCCCAUUUGUUAAGAGGGUCCUAAACAAAAAGUAAAGUCCCAUUUAACCGGAGGGUCCUGAGCAAAAAGUAAAGUCCUAUUUUUCAGGAGGCUCCUGGACAGAAAGUAAAAUCCUAUUUUUCAGGAAAGUCCUAAGCAGAAAGUAAAGUCUCAUUUUUUUAAGAGGGUCCUGAGAAGAAAGUAGAGUCUCAUUUUUUAGGAGGGUCCUGAACAGAAAGUAAAAUCCCAUUUUUCAGGAUGGUCCUGAGCAAAAAGUAAAGUCCUAUUUUUUAAGAGGGUCGUGAACAUAAAGUAAAGUCCCGUUUUCUAGGAGGAUCCUGAGCAGAAAGUAAAGUCCCAUUUUUCAGGAGGGUCCUAAACGAAAGUAAAGUCCCACUUUCCAGGAGGGUCCUGAAAAGAAAGUAAAAUUCCAUUCUUAGGAGGGUCCUGAACAGAAAGUAAUGUCCCAUUUUUCAGGAGAGUCCUGAACAGAAAGUAAAAUCCCAUUUUUCAAGAGGGUCCUGAACAGAAAGAAAAGUCCUAAACAGAAAGUAAAGUCUUAUUUUUCAGGAGGGUCCUGAACAGAAAGUAAAGUCCCAUUUUCCAGGAGGGUCCUGAACAGAAAGCAAAAUCUCAUUUUUCAGGAGGGUCCUAAACAGAAAGUAAAGUCCCAUUUUCCAGGAGGGUCCUGAACAGAAAGUAAAAUCCCAUUUUUAGGAGGGUCCUGAACGAAAAGUAAGGUCCCAUUUUCCAGGAAAGUUCUGAACAGAAAGUAAAAUCUUAUUUUUCAGGAGGGUCCUGAACAGAAAGUAAAAUGCCAUUUUUAGGAGGGUCCUGAACAGAAAGUAAAGUCUCAUUUGCUAGAAGGGUCCUGAACAGAAAGUAAAAACUUAUUUUCCAGGAGGAUCUUGAGCAUAAAUUAAGGUCCCAUUUUCAGGAGGGUCCUGAACAGAAAGUAGAGUCCUAUUUUCCUGGAGGGUCCUUAGCAGAAAGUAAAAUACCAUUUUUUAGGAGGGUCCUGAACAGAAAGUAAAGUCCCAUUUUUCAGGAGGGUCCUGAACAGAAAGUAAAGUCCCAAUUUUCAGAAGGGUCCUGAACAGAAAGUAAAAUCUCAUUUUCCAAGAGGGUCCUGAACAGAAAGUAAAAUCUCAUUUUUCAGGAGGGUCCUGAACAGAAAGUAAAGUCUCAUUUUUUGGGAGGAUCUUGAACAGAAAUUAAAAUCCCAUUUUUAAGAGGGUCCUAAACAGAAAGUAAAGUCCCAUUUACCAUAACGGUCCUGAACAGAAAGUAAAAUCCCAUUUUCCUGGAGGGUCCUGAACAGAAAGUAAAAUCCCAUUUUUAGGAGGGUCCUAAACAGAAAUUAAAGUCCCAUUUUUCAGGAGGGUCCUUAAAUAAAUGUAAAAUUCCAUUUUUUAGGAGGGUCCUUAACAGAAAGUAAAGUCCCAUUUUUUAGGAGGGUCUUGAGUAGAAAGUAAAAUUCCAUUUUUCAGGAGGGUCCUGAGCAGAAAGUAAAUUCCCAUUUUCUAGGAGGGUCCUGAGCAGAAAGUAAAGUCCCAUUUUCUAGUAAGGUCAUGAACAGAAAGUAUAGUCCCAUUUUUCAGGAGGGCCCUAAGCAGAAAGUAAAGUCACAUUUUUUAGGAGAGUCCUAAACAGAAAGUAAAACCCCUUUUUUCAGGAAGUUCCUGAGCAGAAAAUAAAGUUUUAUUUUUCAAGAGGUUCCUGAACAGAAAGUAACGUCUCAUUUUUUAUGAGAGUCCUGAACAGAAAGUAAAAUCUUAUUUUUCGGGAGUGUCCUAAACAGAGAGUAAAGUCCCACUUUUUAGGAGGCUCCUGAGCAGAAAGUAGAGUCUCAUUUUUUAGGAGGGUCCUGAACAGAAAGUAAAAUCCUAUUUUUCAGGAGGGUCCUGAGCAAAAAGUAAAGUCCCAUUUUUUAGGAGGGUUAUGAACAUAAAGUAGAGUCCCAUUUUGUAGGAGGGUCCUGAGCAAAAAGUAAAGUCCCAUUUUUUAGGAGGGUCGUAAACAGAAAGUAAUGUCCCAUUUUCCAGGAGGGUCCUGAACAAAAAGUAAAAUUCCAUUCUAAGGAGGGUCCUGAACAGAAAGUAAAGUCUUAUUUUUCAGGAGGGUCCUGAACAGAAAGUAAAAUCUCAUUUUUCAGGAGGGUCCUAAACAGAAAGUAAAGUCCCAUUUUCCAGGGGGUCCUGAACAGAAAGUAAAAUCUCAUUUUUAGAAGGGUCCUGAACAGAAAGUAAAGUCCCAUUUUCCAGGAAGGUCCUAAACAGAAAGUAAAAUCCUAUUUUUUCGGAGGGUCCUGAACAGAAAGUAAAGUCCCAUUUUCUAGAGGGUCUUGAACAGAAAGUAAAGUCUUAUUUUCCAGGAGGGUCCUGAGCAUAAAUUAAAGUCUCAUUUUUCAGGAGAGUCCUGAACAGAAAGUAAAGUCCUAUUUUUUGGGAGGGUCCUCAGCAGAAAGUAAAAUACCAUUUUUCAGGAGGGUCCUGAGCAGAAAGUAAAGUCCCAUUUUUCAGGAGGGUCCUGAACAGAAAGUAAAGUCCCAUUUUCCUCGAGGGUCCUGAGCAGAAAGUAAAUUCCCAUUUUUUAGGAGGGUCCUGAACAGAAAGUAAAAUCCUAUUUUUCAGGAGGGUCCUGAGCAGAAAGUAAAGUCCCAUUUUUCAGAAGAGUCCUGAACAGAAAGUAAAUUCUCAUUUUCCAGGAGGGUCCUGAACAGAACGUAAAGUCCCAUUUUUUAGGAGGGUCCUGAACAGAAAGUAAAGUCUCAUUUUUCAUGAGGGUCCUAAACGAAAAGUAAAAUCCCAUUUUUCAAGAAGGUCCUGAACAGAAAUUAAAGUCAUAUUUUUCAGGAGGGUCCUCAACUAAAAGUAAAGUCCCAUUUUUCAGGAGGGUCCUGAACAGAUAGUAAAAUCCCAUUUUCAGGAGGGUCCUGAACAGAAAGUAAAAUUCUAUUUUACAGGAGGGUCUUGAACAGAAAGUAAAGUCUCAUUUUUCAGGAAAGCCCUGAACAGAAAGUAAAGUCCCUUUUUUCAGGAUGGCCCUGAGCAAAAAGUAAAGUCCCAUUUUUUGGGAGGGUCCUGAGCAGAAAGUAAAGUCUUAUUUUUCAGGAGCAUCCUGAACAGAAAGUAAAAUCCCAUUCUUAGGAGGGUCCUGAGCAGAAAGUAGAGUCUCAUUUUUCAGGAGGGUCCUGAACAGAAAGUAAAAUCUCAUUUUUUAGGAGGGUCCUGAGCAGAAAUUAAAAUCUCAUUUUUCAGGAGGGUCCUGAACAGAAAGUAAAAUCUCAUUUUUUAGGAGGGUCCUAAGCAGAAAGUAAUGUCUUAUUUUUCAGGAGGGUCCUGAAUAGAGAGUCAAGUCCUAUUUUCUAGGAGAGUCCUGAGCAGAAAGUAAAGUCCUAUUUUUCAGGAGGGUCCUGAACAGAAAGUAAAGACCCAUUUUCCAGGAGGGUCCUGAACAAAAAGUAAAAUUUCAUUUUUCAGGAGGGUUCUGAAUAGAAAAAUAAGUCUCAUGGAUGUGCAUUUCCUAUGGUAGGUGAAUUAAGUGAAGUGAGUUUGCCCCUAUUUCAACAAAGAAAAUUUGUCAGUUAAAAACUUAGUAGUGGCUUACGACAAUUGGAUAUCCCGACACCUACUCAAGUGCUUAUUCCCUUCAUUUUAUUUCAGAUUGCUGGCACUUGGCCCUGCUUUGUCGUGUCAUAGACCCAAACUCAGAUUAUUAAGAGUGACUCCGAAAUGAACACAGUAUCCCUGCUAUGUCAUGCUUCUCAGAUAAACUCUUUAAACCUUGGUAUUUUCAUGAGUUCCCCAGCUUGUCUAUUGACAAAACUUUCUGCAUGGCUUAUUCAGCUCACAAUCAUGUCUCUUUCAUAUGCUGACUUUGUCUUGAUUUGUGAAAUUGAAGAAGCUAGUAGCCAGUUUUGAAAUCUUUUCUCACUUGUUUUGAUAUAGACUUGACUCAAAGAAAAGAGAAAAAUGACAAUGACUUUUAUUUGGACCACUGACUCAAGAAAACAAAAUAAAAAUAAAGAGAAGAAAGAAAAGAUAAUGAAUGUCCCCAUUUGAAACAAAGAAAUGAAAAAUUUAUCUAGAAAUAACAGUCAACUCUAAUGGUUAUGCCAUGCAUAUCAGAUUAAGCUACCUGAUCUUUCCAUCCAAAACUUUCUACUAAUUGUUGUUGAGUUAAUGACCUCGAAAAUGAGUUGCUUCCUUAGGUCAAUUGCAUUUAAGACCUCAUUCUGCUAAUGGCGCCUUGAAGGGUUUUUUGCCAACAAGUCUCUCUCAUUUUCUUUUUCCCAGCUCACUAUUGCCCUAUGGUGUCCAUGAGGGCUUUUCACCAAUGAAACUCUCUCAUUUUUAUUUGUCUCAACUCACCGUCAUCUUACAGUACCCGUGAGGGUUUUCACCGAUAAGACUCUCUCAUUGUUUCUCCCUCAGCUUACCAUCAUUUUACGGUGCCCGUGAGGGUUUUCACCGAUAAGACUCUCUCAUUGUUAUCUCCCCCAGCUUACCGUUAUCUUACGGUGCCCGUGAGGAUUUUCACCGAUAAGACUCUUUCAUUUUUAUUUCCCUCAGCUUACCAUCAUCUUACGGUGCCCGUGAGGGUUUUCAUCGAUAAGACUCUCUUAUUUUUUAUUUCUCUCCCGAUUCUUAUUGCUGAGGUAGACAAGUAGUUCCCAAAAUGCGUCAUCACAUGCUUAGUCUUAACAUUCUUAAAGAUUGAUCUGAAGGUCUUUCUUUGGUUGUAGCUUGGCUUUUAGAUAAGGUUAGAAGAAAAGGAUAACACGAGGCCUAAACGACACUUGAAGUGGGGUAGGACUUACAACUUUUGGAAUAGACGCAAAUAAUGAAGAUUAAAUCAUGCCCCAGUUUCUUUUGACUGGACAAUUAUAAAUUUUUUAUUUGGUUAGACCGAGCCCUUAGUAGGGCAGCCUACGUAUCUCACCCCCGAGAGAGGAGAAUCAGGUCAUGCGUAGUUCUGGCAGUUUGUUCUUUUGAUUGAUUCUGAUUUUUGUUUCUUCUUAUUCUUUUUUUCUCUUUUCUCUUUGGGAUUUUUUUCUGACCCUAUUUUUUAUACUCUUCUCUUUUCUUUCCUUUUGGACAUAUUUUUUUUCGACACUUUUCUUUUGAGUUUUAUUGACUCUAUAUUGAUUCCAAAAGAGGGGUAUGAAAGAAAAUAGGACUAAAGCUCAAAUGGGGUAAACAAAGGAUGACACAAUGUUUGGAUAACAGAAUAAAAUACCUUCGUCAUAUCAAUCCUUGAAAAUACUAGUACAUAGCAUGCAAGUGAAAGUGAAAGAUGAAGAUCAUUGUGACAUCUCUUACAACAUUAACUUUGACUAAGUCUGUGCAUCACUACUUCUUUCGCAAACUCAACCUUUGUUGUGCAUUCCUCACACUGAAUGACUUAUGAUUUUGUGGAGCUAAUUUUCGUUCAGUUCACACAGCCACUAUUUGACCUAAUUGAGACAUGUCUUUCAAUUGAUGACCAAGUUAUUCUUGUGAUUCUCAAAAUAAGUGCCUUAAUUUUCAAAGAAGGCUUCAACUUGUUGCCAAAUAUCUUAGCACUCUACCUAUUUCCUCAGAUGUUCUCUUUUACUAACUUAAACCUCUGAUUCAAUGUUUCAUGGUUAAAUUGGAUUUUAAGAUCUGACUAAAAAUUCCGCUAGCAUGUCAUAACAAUAUAAUCAACAUAACAUGUGAUGUGUAAAGAAAACAAACACAUUUAAAACACAAAGGGAAAAGGACACUUCAUUUAGUUGAAAUAAAAGAUAGAAAUAUUUGAACAUAAAUGACACAGGGACAAAACAGGAUAGAUCCCGAACUAUAACCUUGAAAUAAUUCAAAAAAUAGAAAAAAAAAAUAAAACAAACUACCAGGCCUCUUCCUAGCAGGGAGUGAAGUGACUUCUCAAUUGCUCAUCCUGACAUCUUAGCCACUAGUUUGCAUCUCAGCAUGACUAGAUAUUUCCUCACUGUCAAAGUUCUGCACCAUAAUCAAUUUGUCUUGAAUCAUCUUUUCAAUUUCUCUUUUCAAAGUACGACAAUCUUCAAUACUGUGACCCUGAACAUUAGAAUGAUAUGCACAUCGUACAUUAGGAUCAAAACUUCUUAAAUGCGGGUCAGGAGUAUACCCAAGGAGAGGAGUGAUCAUGCCUCACUGUGUCAAUCUCUGAAAUAAACUGGCAUAUGACUCUCCAAUUGGUGUGAAACUAUCCCUCAAUUUCUGACUCAUUUCAUUGUUUAAUUUGGAUCGAACAUCAGGCCUAGAAGGGCUUUGGUAUGUUUGUGGAAUUAGAGGACGACUUUAAAGAGUUGGUGCGCGCCAUUGUGGGUAAGGAGGGAUUUGAACAUAUGGUUGUGCUCAAUAUACUAGAUAUAGAGGUGGGAAAACAGAGUAUAAUGGAUUUUAGGAGUGAUUAUAGAGAACUUGGGUAUGAACUUGGGCUUGAUACUGACGGCAAUGACGACGUCGUCUUCUUGGAUGUGCCCGUUCUCCAACUACAAUAACAAAUGUCAUCUUUCUCAUCCUUCUUCCCUCUGGGUUUCCUUAAUUGAUUGCAAUAUUGUCCCAAAUGUUUCACGGAUUCCUCAUGCCUAUCUUGCUCCUCAAAUUUCGACAUCUCAAAGAUUGGAGGAAGGUUAGCACUUGAAGGCAUGGCCCAGUAUUUGUAUGAAACAUCUUUUUUACCCGCAGGUCCUAGAGAAUUUUUCAUAGCGUUUUCUGCACUCUUCAUUUUUCCAACCAUUCUCUCCGACUCUUCUGGCACACUAAACUUCUUGUUAAGAAAUUUUGGUGGUCUAGUUAACUUAAAAGCAGGCUCAAGAGUAUAACAAUAAUCACCAAAAGUAUUGAAUAUAGGUUCACUAGCAGCAUGGGAACGCAUAAUUAUUGGGCGAGCCAGUGUGGAAGUCCCAGUAGAAGAUUGAGCAACAAAAUCACAGACGACACGUGGUGUUGUGAAAGUAGCAGGCUUAUACUGAGGAGCUAGAGGAAAAGUGGUGGAAGUAUUGAGAUGUUUUUGGCUUGGAAUGAAUUCUGAGUCAUGUUGCGGUGCAUCAACAACAGUAGAAAACUAACUUUGAGAUUUUGGAGGAAAACUCGAGGUAUUUGUAGGAUCAAUAAAGGGAAAUAGAGGAGGAGGCAACCCACUGGCCCAAUCUCGAUGCAUUUCUGUCAUUUGUUGUCUUAGCCUCCUAAUCUCUUGCUUCAAACUCUUAUUUUCCUGAUUCUUUGUUUGAUCCAUGAUGCCACUCUCUAUAUCUUUGUUGGACACAACUAACCCUUUGGAUUUGGUGUGAUAUAAAGGACCAGCCAGAAUGCCACAAACCAACCACCUUAAACUGACUCAACAAAAAAAAAAUGUAUUAGAGUUCAACACUUUUCAAGAACUCUUUUUCCUUUUUUUUGUAAAGAUCACCGAACCAAAGAAGGGCGCCUACGUAUCUCACCCCCGAGAGAGGAGAAUCAGGUCAUGCGUAGCUCUUGAAGUCUUGCCCAAAUGGCCAAUUAAACUCUUUUUUUAUUCCUUGAAACUUUAAGAAGAAAAGAAAAUAACAAUUUAUCAAAAGAAUUGACAAUAAUCUUUUUGAAUUUUUUCAGCUUUAACAUCCCUAUACAAAAAUGAAAUCUAUGAUUACUAAAGAAAAAUCUUUUUUGGGUUUUCAAUUUUGAAUUUCAUAUGAAAAUGAAACUUGAACCUAUUAAAGGAAAUUUUGCAGCUUUCUUUUAAAGAUGUAUAUGAAACGCUUACUCUAAAUAAAGAGUGAAGAAAAUAUUUUUGAAUUUUUCAAAUAAGAUCCCCAAACCAACAAUAGGUUUCCUACGUAUCUCACUUCCGAGAGAGGAGAAUCAGGUUGAAGCCUUGCCAAAAUGGCCAAUUAAACUCUUUUUCUAUUCCUUGAAACUUUAAGAAGAAAAGAAAAUAGCAAUUUGUCAAAAAAAUUGACAAAAAGUCUUUUUGAAUUUUUUCAGCUUUAACAUCCCUAUACAAAAAUGAAAUCUAUGAUUACCAAAGAAAAAUCUUUUUUGGGUUUUCAAUUUUGAAUUUCAUAUGAAAAUGAAACUUGAACCUAUCAAACGAAAUUUUGCAGUUUUCUUUUAAAGAUGUAUAUGAAACACUUACUCUAAAUAAAAAGUGAAGAAAAUCUUUUUAGAUUUUUCAAAUAAGAUCCCCGAACCAACAAUAGGUUGCCUAUGUAUCUCACUCCGAAAGAGGAGAAUCAGGGGUGCGUAGUUCGUCCAGAUUGGACAAUUAAGGAUUAAAUAACCAGCUAGACCCUGACGUAAGAGAUUCGACCAAAGACAAACGAUGAACAAUGUUAUAAAAUAUUUUUGAGUUUUUUCAUUUGACACUUCACAUAAAACUGACACCAACAACUACGAAAGGAAGAUCUUUUUGGUAUUUUAUUUUAUGAAAUGAACACAACUACUACCAUUUUUUUGAAUUUUCUUUUAUAAAGAAGCUCCUAUUAAGAGAAAAAAUCUUUUUUGAAAAUUUUGAAUUAUGAAUGCAUGGUAAAGAAAUAAAAGGAAAAAAAAAUUGAUGUUUUUGAGAACAUGAGUGCAAAGUGUAAAACAUCUUUUUGAAUUGUGACAAAAAAAAUCAAAAGUCAUAAAGAACUCUAAAACUACGAAACACUCUUUUUUUACUCACCUUUCUUUUUUCUCUCUUUUUUUCAACAUUUUCUUGUCUACACACUUUACUUCUAACACAUGCUUUCCCCAAAUUAAUCGGUCAAAUGACCAUGUUAUCUUUAGGGAUGCAACAUUUAGCAUGUAGGGAUGCUUUAGAGGUAAGUCUUCUACAAAGGACUAAGUGAGUCCCACUAGGUCUCAAUAUGAUGCAGAUAAGCAUGAUCUAAAGACUAACCUACGCUGGGAUCCACUAACAAGGUUGUUCGGGGGAGCGUAUGAUCGAUAGUGGCUGCGAGAGCUUCCCACCCACUCCAUAACACCGACGGCUCCCCCUCUUAAAAUAGGGGUGACUCAACUAGAGGUCGUGUACAACACGUGUACUACAGACUUAUUGUAGAAAGAAUGACUCGGGUUAUGCACAUGAUGCCAGAUAUAAAGCGGUAACACGUAAAGAAAAACUGUAAACACAUAACAAGUAGGCACUCAACAAUGAUAAAACAAAUACGAACAAUAACACAAAAAUGUCUAUACACCCAUAAUGUCAAACAAAGCCGAUACAACUUCAAAAAUUAGCUCGAAUUCUGAAAAAUCCUCAGCAAAGUCGCCAGAGCUGUCACACCCCUUUUUUUUCAACUCCAAAAAGAUUCAUGAAUUGUUUUGAAAGGAUUUUUAUUAUUAAGUGACAAAAUAUGAAAAUUUGUUUCGAAAAAGAUUCAUUUUAUUCUAAACUCAAAGUCGCCACUUGGCAUAAAUCGGGUGUGCCAAGUCACCCGUGGAUAUCCUUUUUCAAAAUGGUUUUGACUCUGUAAAACUGAUCUGCGAACAGAGAUUCCGGCUAAGGAAUUCUGUUGGUCGAAGGAAAGGUGUUAGGAACCCCUCGAUCUCGUGGUUCGACCACGGUCGCUUGGUGAAGCGUAUCGGCUAAUUUUGACACUACGAAUGUACAAACCACAAAGAAGCACGUAAAGCAAUCAAACAAACAAACCAAACAAAACGAAUAAAAGUAUAGUGUUCAGUCCAAUUAUACAGUCCCAAAAAUAAAAAAAAUGUAAAAAUAAAUCAUAUCUAACCUAUACUAAUCCUAACUAUGCUCCCUUGCUUUACUCGACGCCUCGGGCCUUCCUCAUGAACGUCUUUCUGCCAACAUAGUACGUCGGGGCAUUCCCCAGUGAACAAACACAAAUACCUCGGGGCAUUCCCCGACCAAAUGAAUACAUUUAAUGAAAUGUGAUGAAAAUGAAGAAAAGCACUCAACACAAAUAUUUACACAUUCGGUGAUUAAAAUCCUACGAGUUGCCUACCCACCAAAACCUAGAACUUGACUAUCA
RNAcentral lists this long non-coding RNA (13765 nucleotides) under Capsicum annuum. Its description in RNAcentral is "long non-coding RNA (CANN_LNC006251)". The record is from RNAcentral. Lineage: Eukaryota; Viridiplantae; Streptophyta; Magnoliopsida; Solanales; Solanaceae.